Molecule: ribosomal RNA, 262 nt
Filed under: uncultured archaeon
Lineage: Archaea
Description: partial 16S ribosomal RNA
Rfam family: Archaeal small subunit ribosomal RNA
Source: RNAcentral
CAGCCGUAAACUAUGCUCGCUAGGUGUCAGGCAUGGCGCGACCGUGUCUGGUGCCGCAGGGAAGCCGUGAAGCGAGCCACCUGGGAAGUACGGCCGCAAGGCUGAAACUUAAAGGAAUUGGCGGGGGAGGCACAACAACGGGUGGAGCCUGCGGUUUAAUUGGACUCAACGCCGGACAACUCACCGGGGACGACAGCAAUAUGUAGGCCAGGCUGAAGACCUUGCCUGAAUCGCUGAGAGGAGGUGCAUGGCGUAGACGUCU